UUCACCUCAUUGCUUCACAAUGUCUUCACCUACACAGACCUUCAGCUUCCUCCUCAUCUGGUUCUCAAAUCAGAUCCUGACGGGAGCAGCGGAAAAAACCUGCAGGAUGCCGACAAUGAUUAUCCUGUUUCUCCUCAUCUUGCCUCAGUUUCAAGCUAAGAAYGUGCAAUUUCAACCAACUGAUCCCAAAAUAGUCAACAUGGAGGACAAAGUGGAUUUCCACUGCCAUCACGACGACAGCAGUCUAAAUGUUAUGCUCUGGUACCAACAAACAGACACUGGUGCUAUAGAGCUGAUCGGAUACAGCUACGUCGGGAGUGAAGCGGUCCAUGAGAAAGACUAUGAAAGCAGGUUCAAGAUUACAAGAAAAGACACCCAGACAGGAGGCUUGAACAUCGACGGAGCCAUUGCCUCAGACUCCGCCGUGUAUUUCUGCGCUGGCAGUACACAGUGAUGUGGUUGAAUGAAACCUCAUGACUAAAAGUCCUACCGUUUCAUUCUGAUGCGUUUAGAAAAGCU
This is a non-coding RNA of Poecilia reticulata (guppy), 519 nucleotides long. Lineage: Eukaryota; Metazoa; Chordata; Actinopteri; Cyprinodontiformes; Poeciliidae. The record is from the annotation of a RefSeq genome assembly.